This is a long non-coding RNA of Bombina bombina (fire-bellied toad), 275 nucleotides long. RefSeq lists it as uncharacterized. The record is from RefSeq and is a predicted model, not a curated record. The transcript is spliced from 2 exons. NCBI's taxonomy places the organism in Eukaryota, Metazoa, Chordata, Amphibia, Anura, Bombinatoridae.
CUGGCUUUCCUUGUCUACCCCAUGAACAAACCAUCGGACAUCAUAUCUUCUGUUGUUUCCACAUUUAUAUCCAUUGCCGAAGAGGGGUACGUGAAUAGAGAUCCUGCCAAUCUGCAACUAUUCACUGCACUCUGGUAUUUUUUACUCUCCUGUAACUCUCUUCUGGUACGUGAAUAGAGACCCUGUCAAUCUGCAACUAUUCACUGUACUCUGGUGUUUUUUACUCUCCUGUAACUCUCUUCUGGUACGUGAAUAAAGACCCUGUCAAUCUGCAA